Molecule: ribosomal RNA, 465 nt
Filed under: uncultured bacterium
Lineage: Bacteria
Description: partial 16S ribosomal RNA
Rfam family: Bacterial small subunit ribosomal RNA
Source: RNAcentral
GACGAACGCUGGCGGCGUGCUUAACACAUGCAAGUCGAACGGAAAGGCCCUGCUUGCAGGGUACUCGAGUGGCGAACGGGUGAGUAACACGUGGGUGUUUUCCCCUGCACUUCGGGUUAAGUCUGGGAAACUGGGCUUAUUACCCGAACGGCGUCAUUUUUAGUGUGAUGGUUGGACAGACUUUUCGGUGUCGGAUGAGCCUGCGGCCUAUCAGCUUGUUGGUGGGGUAAUGGCCUACCAAGGCGGCGAUGGGUAGCUGGCCUGAGAGGGUGGUCGGCCACAUUGGGACCGACGUGCGGCCCAAGCGCCGACGGGAGGCAACUGGGGGGAAGACUGCACAAUGGGCGCAGGGCUUGUGCAGCAAGGCCGCGGAGGGGAAGACGGCCUUCGGGGUGUAAACGCCCUUCGCGAGGAACGAAGCUUUUUGUGACGGUACCUAGAGAAGAAGCACCGGCUAACUACGUG